Molecule: long non-coding RNA, 906 nt
Filed under: Anas platyrhynchos platyrhynchos (common mallard)
Lineage: Eukaryota; Metazoa; Chordata; Aves; Anseriformes; Anatidae
Description: lncRNA (ENSAPLG00000017787.1)
Source: RNAcentral
AAACUGAAAUGCUUGCUUUUACUUUGCAUUGUGCACUAUUUUAACAGCAGAAGAUGGCAUAUAAACACCUUUUAUCUACUUUCCCUCCUACUGGGCUUGUAACAUCAAAGAUCAUCCCAUUCAUCUUUGUUUCAAGAUGGGCUGUAAGUUUUUAUCCGUCAGGGUUGUUGAGAAUCAAACUGGCUAUACUUGAUCACAGUAGGAUCUGCAUGAAAAUCCAUCUACAAGUUGAGUUGUAAUACUUACCUGUCUAGGUCAAUUUGAGAAUAACAAGAAUGAUAAGCACGUAAAGCUGAAAUGGGUUUGUCGCACAGUAGGACUGUUUCACUGUCAGGAUGGCAGAAAAGGCUGGUUUAAGUAAAUGUGGAGCUGCUUGCAAAGUCAUGUGGUUGUGUCCCAUAGAUUAUCAGCUGCAAUUCAUUGUGAUAAUUUGUCAUCCCACUUGCCCUGACUUUGUAUGCCAUAUUGCCUGGGGAUUAUCCCAGCGAAGAGGGAGGAUUAAGAAGACUCCCCAGGAUUUGGCCCAGCUGGAGCUCUUGCUUCUCCUGGCCUUGGAGCAUAGUUCUCUGCAAGGAGGUCGGUAUUCAGGAAAACAAAAAACGCUGGCUUAAGUGGAACAGUUCGUGUUGCCCCAAGAGGAAGGAAGGAUGCCUCUUCCUGCCUAACCGCCGCGUGCUCUGCAAGGCGUUACUUAUUGCUGAGCCUUCCCCUGCCUGUUUCCUGGAUAAGGUGGAAAGAAAAAUGAUAAACGUCCUUGUCUGAAGCUUGCACAAAUCAGGUUACAGAGACAAAUUGCUUUCCAGAUCUUCUUAUUGUACAUCCCUGGCAAGUUUUGUCUAAAAUUAAAAGUAGGUAUUGUGUGUAUUCGUGCUCCUUUAUUACCUGCAAAUAUAUAAAUUAAAUCUG